AUACGGAGGGUCCAAGCGUUAUCCGGAUUCAUUGGGUUUAAGGGGUCCGCAGGCGGGAAAAUAAGUCAGUGGUGAAAGCCUACAGCUCAACUGUAGAACUGCCAUUGAUACUGUUUUUCUUGAGUAUAGAUGAAGUGGGCGGAAUAUAUCAUGUAGCGGUGAAAUGCAUAGAUAUGAUAUAGAGCACCGAUUGCGAAGGCAGCUCACUAAACUAUUACUGACGCUCAGGGACGAAAGCGUGGGGAGCGAACAGGAUUAGAAACCCUAGUAGUCC
This 274-nucleotide ribosomal RNA is filed under the name uncultured bacterium. RNAcentral describes it as "partial 16S ribosomal RNA". It matches the Rfam family "Bacterial small subunit ribosomal RNA", at positions 523 to 796 of the family's 1533-position model. The record is from RNAcentral.